RNAcentral lists this long non-coding RNA (334 nucleotides) under Fukomys damarensis (Damara mole-rat). Its description in RNAcentral is "lncRNA (ENSFDAG00000022877.1)". The record is from RNAcentral. Lineage: Eukaryota; Metazoa; Chordata; Mammalia; Rodentia; Bathyergidae.
CUGAGGACCCUACUUUAUUUAUAUAAUGUAAGCACAGGGUGGACACUCGAUAAAUGAACUCACUUGUUCAGGUUGCUUCUCAGAGCCAGCAGUAGAAGUCUCAGGCAACCCAUGCUACUAAGCUUACACUGGGCUGAGGUCCUCCGUUGGUCACGUGCUUCUUUGCUGCGAGGACAUUGGUCUCUUCAUCAGUGGAUUUCUGACUCCUGGCCUGUAUCUUGCAUCAUUUUUCUUUUAAUUUAAAAUUGAGAUAAAAUACAUUGACAACAAGACUCGAAAAUGUAACCUUUUGAAGAUGGUCAAUGUAAAAAUAUCGCAAUAUCAUAUUUGGAAC